Molecule: long non-coding RNA, 2037 nt
Organism: Orcinus orca (killer whale)
Lineage: Eukaryota; Metazoa; Chordata; Mammalia; Artiodactyla; Delphinidae
Exons: 4
Source: RefSeq, a predicted model, not a curated record
AAAAAAAAAAGAGAGACUGGGAGUGAAACAGGCAGCCAGCCCAGUAUGUGAAACCAUUUCCAAUAUAAAAGACUGAAAGUCAUUUUGAUGAUGCCGGUUUUGAGGGUGUGUUUAUUCCAGCUCACAUAAAUCCAGACAUUAUGGCACGAGGUAAAAACAGGUUUUGGAGUCAGAUACACCUGGAUUUGAAUUUUGACUCUGCCACUUAUUAGCUUAAACAAAUUGCUUGGCUUCUCUGAGCCUCAGUGUCUUUUCUUCCCCUCAACCCCAGAACCUCAAUGUCUUUAUUCGUAAAAUCAGUAUGGCUGUUACCUUAGGUACCUUUGACUCAACAAAAUCAGCUACUUGUGCUCUCUCUUUCUUUAAUUGAAACAGCGUAAAAUGAUAUUUUGCAUAUAUAGUCCUGAAUGUACUGUACAUUGCCUUAUACAUUAUAGAACGUGUAUAUACCCAGGGUGCAGAGGAUACAUUCCACACCAAAUAUAUCAAAAUUUAUGGGUAAAUAUUUUUAAAGGAUUUUCGAGAAGAAUUUUAACAAUAUUCAAUUUUUGUCUUUGCACUCUGAUUUGGGGCUAUAAUGUCCUUCCACCAUAAUAACCAUUCGUGAUUGUUGGGAGAUUAGAGCCCGUGGGCACUCCACCAGUGGGAAGGAUUUCUAUUAGGCACAGUCUAACAAAAGUACGAAGCUGAAAAAAAAUUAAAACAAAAACUCUUGCCUCUAGGAAGGAAAAAAGGAGACGGAAGAAGAAAGAAGAAGAGGCAGAAGAAGAGAAAGAGCUGCCCUGAGCGAACGUGAUUGGCUAGUACCGUGCGGGGCUGUCCUGACGGUCCUUCUCAGCCCCUCAGCCCUGGAAGAUGCAUCGUGCAACUCGCUGCACAGAUGAGGAAGCAGGUUCCACGUCAUGACAGAACCUGUCCAGGUUCACAGAGCCAAUAAGCGGCUAACAGGGAUUUGAGCUCCCGCCUGUCUGAUCCCCGAGCUUGUGUGCUCUGUUGGGUACUUGGAAGUCUUCUUCCUUAGAAGACAUUUUUCACGGAUUGGAUGGUAGAGAGGUAUCUGCUUGUAUCCAUCAGGGUCUGGGCAGGAAACAGCAAACACACUCACCCCAGGCCCUGAUGGUAAGUGAAAGUCAAGGCUGUGGGCAAGGUCUAGAAGACUUGGCUACACGAGGCGUGCGUUUCUUCCUGGCACAGCUGCCUGCUAUGCAACUUGCCCAUGGCUGUCUGCCGCCUCUCUCCAUAGACAGCCAGGUUUGUGGUCCUGGCUGGUCUGCCUCUUCGUUCCACGGCAAAAUGCAACAGACAGCAUGAUACGGGACGUAAGGCGACGCUCCCAGGUACGUGGUGAUAGUGAUGGUUUAGACACGAGAAACCAGCUCUUCACUCACAGGAAAAUCGCCUCCCUCUUGUCAUUGGGGAAGAUCGAAUUCAAAGACAUCUACGGGGAAUCAAAACACAACUGCGGUUCUCCAUGACUUCCAGUGCCUCAGCCCCGGGCACAACAUCAUCAUUGAAUGGAAGUUCAAUCAGCUCUUCCCGAGGCUCAUUUGGGAUCCUUGGAGAUGAGGGAAGAUGCCAAAUUCACACCAAUUUAAGAGAGCUCAUUCUCCACCUCUCCCCUAGGAAACGAAGCAGAGAGAGAAUGAGAGAGGACAGGAGGCUGAAGGAGCAGAAAACCAUCAGAGAGCAAAUCUAUACGCUGUGCUAAAUGCCACUGGGAGAGAGGUUUUCCCAUUCUUUUCUGCUUAUCUCGGUGGAAUCUGUUUCUCAUAAUAAAAAUAUAGUCAAGAAUGACUGGUGGGGGCUUCCCUGGUGGCGCAGUGGUUAAGAAUCCGCCUGCCAAUGCAGGGGACACGGGUUCAAGCCCUGGUCCAGGAAGAUCCCAUAUGCCACGGAGCAACUAAGCCCGUGUGCCACAACUACUGAGCCUGUGCUCUAGAGCCCAUGCUCCGCAACAAGAGAAGCUACCACAAUGAGAAGCCCGUGCACCACAACGAAGAGUAUCCCCCGCUCGCCGCAACUAGAGAAAGUCCGCAU